UACAGAGGGUGCGAGCGUUACUCGGAGUAACUGGGCGUAAAGGGCACGUAGGCGGUUAUAUUAGUCUGAUGUGAAAGACCUGGGCUUAACCUGGGAUGUGCAUUGGAAACGGUAUGGCUAGAGUAUGGGAGAGGGAAGUGGAAUUUCCGGUGUAGCGGUGAAAUGCGCAGAUAUCAGGAGGAACACCGGUGGCGAAGGCGGGUCUCUGGGCCGAUACUGACGCUGAGGAGCGAAAGCAUGGGUAGCGAACAGG
RNAcentral lists this ribosomal RNA (253 nucleotides) under uncultured bacterium. RNAcentral's name for it is "partial 16S ribosomal RNA". It matches the Rfam family "Bacterial small subunit ribosomal RNA", at positions 524 to 776 of the family's 1533-position model. The record is from RNAcentral.